CCGAGUUAGGGUGUCAAACUUAUGCGCCCGACCUCCAACCCUUUGUCUACUUGACCUUAUGUUGCUUCGGCAGGCCCGCUGGUGUCCCUUUGGGGCCCGGCCGCCGGGGGUCCUCGUGGCCCCGGGUCCGCGCCUGCCGAUGGCCCCUUCUUAAACUAUUGUUAAAACGUGUCGUCUGAGUUUAUGAUUAAACAAUCAAAACA
RNAcentral lists this unclassified non-coding RNA (203 nucleotides) under uncultured Phialophora. RNAcentral's name for it is "sequence contains ITS1". RNAcentral also lists the same sequence under 1 other name. The record is from RNAcentral. Lineage: Eukaryota; Fungi; Ascomycota; Leotiomycetes.